UUAAAUUGAUGUGAAAUUUAUGUAUAAAGGUAAUAGAUUUAAUUUCCUAAAUAUAAGUAAAAUUUGAAAACGAUUCAAUGGAGUGAGAAGGAAAUAUUCGUGCUUGAAGACGAACAUUAAGGUUGAAGAAGGAGGCCAACCGACAUCCAAGUGGAUUUUGAUACUUUUCUUCUAUUUAAUAAGUUUGAUUCUAUUCAAAUUUUUUAUGCUUAUUUCUAAUUUAAUUUUUGAGAAGUAUGCAAAAUUUUAAAGAAGAUUAAUAAUUUAAUCAAUAGAUAUUGAGGUUCUAAACUAUGCUAGGAUUAAAUUGAGUUGGUUAGAUUUUGGUUAGGAUUUGAUUUAGGAUUAAGAUUUGAUUAGAAUUUAGGAUUUGAUUAAGAUUUGGUUAAGAUUUAAGAUUGAACUAAGAUUUACGGUUUGAUUUAGGAUUUAGGAUUUAGGAUUUUUUUAGGAUUUAAGAUUUAUAAUUUGCUAAGGAUUUAAGGUUCAGAUUUUGUUUAAGAUUUAGGAUUUGGCCUAAGGUUUGAUUGCAGUCCAUUAAGAUUUUAACUAGAGGUUAAAUUAAGACUUGGUUGAGAUUUAUUUAAGAUAUAUUUUUAAUUAUUUU
This 607-nucleotide long non-coding RNA is filed under the name Physcomitrium patens. Its description in RNAcentral is "long non-coding RNA (PPAT_LNC007283)". The record is from RNAcentral. Lineage: Eukaryota; Viridiplantae; Streptophyta; Bryopsida; Funariales; Funariaceae.